This 375-nucleotide unclassified non-coding RNA is filed under the name soil metagenome. RNAcentral's name for it is "partial contains 5.8S ribosomal RNA, internal transcribed spacer 2, and large subunit ribosomal RNA". The stretch from base 1 to 120 matches the Rfam family "5.8S ribosomal RNA", at positions 35 to 154 of the family's 154-position model. The record is from RNAcentral.
GAUGAAGAACGCAGCGAAAUGCGAUAACUAAUGUGAAUUGCAGAAUUCCGUGAAUCAUCGAGUCUUUGAACGCACAUUGCGCCCCCUGGUAUUCCGGGGGGCAUGCCUGUCCGAGCGUCAUUUCUCCCCUCGAGCGCAGCUUUCCCCCCCGGGGGAGGGCCGCGCCCGGUGUUGGGGCGCUACGGAGGAGCCCAGCGCUCCCCCGUAGGCCCCGAAAUGUAGUGGCGGUCCCGCCGCGGCGCCCCCUGCGUAGUAGUUUUACAACUCGCAUCGGGUCCCGGCGGAGGCCAGCCGUCAAACCCCCCAACUUCAAUAGUUUGACCUCGGAUCAGGUAGGGUUACCCGCUGAACUUAAGCAUAUCAAUAAGCGGAGGA